GGGUGAGUAAUGCCUAGGAAUCUGCCUGGUAGUGGGGGAUAACGUCCGGAAACGGACGCUAAUACCGCAUACGUCCUACGGGAGAAAGCAGGGGACCUUCGGGCCUUGCGCUAUCAGAUGAGCCUAGGUCGGAUUAGCUAGUUGGUGGGGUAAUGGCUCACCAAGGCGACGAUCCGUAACUGGUCUGAGAGGAUGAUCAGUCACACUGGAACUGAGACACGGUCCAGACUCCUACGGGAGGCAGCAGUGGGGAAUAUUGGACAAUGGGCGAAAGCCUGAUCCAGCCAUGCCGCGUGUGUGAAGAAGGUCUUCGGAUUGUAAAGCACUUUAAGUUGGGAGGAAGGGCAGUAAAUUAAUACUUUGCUGUUUUGACGUUACCGACAGAAUAAGCACCGGCUAACUCUGUGCCAGCAGCCGCGGUAAUACAGAGGGUGCAAGCGUUAAUCGGAAUUACUGGGCGUAAAGCGCGCGUAGGUGGUUCGUUAAAGUUGGAUGUGAAAUCCCCGGGCUCAACCUG
Molecule: ribosomal RNA, 517 nt
Filed under: uncultured bacterium
Lineage: Bacteria
Description: bacterial SSU rRNA
Rfam family: Bacterial small subunit ribosomal RNA
Source: RNAcentral